This 451-nucleotide ribosomal RNA is filed under the name Escherichia coli. RNAcentral describes it as "partial 23S ribosomal RNA". It matches the Rfam family "Bacterial large subunit ribosomal RNA", at positions 797 to 1246 of the family's 2925-position model. Lineage: Bacteria; Pseudomonadati; Pseudomonadota; Gammaproteobacteria; Enterobacterales; Enterobacteriaceae. The record is from RNAcentral.
UUAGCGGAUGACUUGUGGCUGGGGGUGAAAGGCCAAUCAAACCGGGAGAUAGCUGGUUCUCCCCGAAAGCUAUUUAGGUAGCGCCUCGUGAAUUCAUCUCCGGGGGUAGAGCACUGUUUCGGCAAGGGGGUCAUCCCGACUUACCAACCCGAUGCAAACUGCGAAUACCGGAGAAUGUUAUCACGGGAGACACACGGCGGGUGCUAACGUCCGUCGUGAAGAGGGAAACAACCCAGACCGCCAGCUAAGGUCCCAAAGUCAUGGUUAAGUGGGAAACGAUGUGGGAAGGCCCAGACAGCCAGGAUGUUGGCUUAGAAGCAGCCAUCAUUUAAAGAAAGCGUAAUAGCUCACUGGUCGAGUCGGCCUGCGCGGAAGAUGUAACGGGGCUAAACCAUGCACCGAAGCUGCGGCAGCGACACUAUGUGUUGUUGGGUAGGGGAGCGUUCUGUAA